This 468-nucleotide ribosomal RNA is filed under the name uncultured bacterium. RNAcentral's name for it is "partial 16S ribosomal RNA". It matches the Rfam family "Bacterial small subunit ribosomal RNA", at positions 28 to 507 of the family's 1533-position model. The record is from RNAcentral.
GACGAACGCUGGCGGCGUGCUUAACACAUGCAAGUCGAACGGAAAGGCCCUGCUUUUGUGGGGUGCUCGAGUGGCGAACGGGUGAGUAACACGUGAGUAACCUGCCCUUGACUUUGGGAUAACUUCAGGAAACUGGGGCUAAUACCGGAUAGGAGCUCCUGCUGCAUGGUGGGGGUUGGAAAGUUUCGGCGGUUGGGGAUGGACUCGCGGCUUGUCAGCUUGUUGGUGGGGUAGUUGCUUACCAAGGCUUUGACGGGUAGCCGGCCUGAGAGGGUGACCGGCCACAUUGGGACUGAGAUACGGCCCAGACUCCUACGGGAGGCAGCAGUGGGGAAUAUUGCACAAUGGGCGGAAGCCUGAUGCAGCAACGCCGCGUGCGGGAUGACGGCCUUCGGGUUGUAAACCGCUUUCGCCUGUGACGAAGCGUGAGUGACGGUAAUGGGUAAAGAAGCACCGGCUAACUACGUG